RNAcentral lists this ribosomal RNA (2902 nucleotides) under Klebsiella pneumoniae. RNAcentral's name for it is "23S ribosomal RNA". It matches the Rfam family "Bacterial large subunit ribosomal RNA". The record is from RNAcentral. Lineage: Bacteria; Pseudomonadati; Pseudomonadota; Gammaproteobacteria; Enterobacterales; Enterobacteriaceae.
GGUUAAGCGACUAAGCGUACACGGUGGAUGCCCUGGCAGUCAGAGGCGAUGAAGGACGUGCUAAUCUGCGAAAAGCGUCGGUAAGGUGAUAUGAACCGUUAUAGCCGGCGAUGUCCGAAUGGGGAAACCCAGUGUGAUUCGUCACACUAUCGUUAACUGAAUACAUAGGUUAACGAGGCGAACCGGGGGAACUGAAACAUCUAAGUACCCCGAGGAAAAGAAAUCAACCGAGAUUCCCCCAGUAGCGGCGAGCGAACGGGGAGCAGCCCAGAGUCUGAAUCAGCUUGUGUGUUAGUGGAACGGUCUGGAAAGUCCGACGGUACAGGGUGAUAGUCCCGUACACCAAAAUGCACAGGCUGUGAACUCGAAGAGUAGGGCGGGACACGUGGUAUCCUGUCUGAAUAUGGGGGGACCAUCCUCCAAGGCUAAAUACUCCUGACUGACCGAUAGUGAACCAGUACCGUGAGGGAAAGGCGAAAAGAACCCCGGCGAGGGGAGUGAAAAAGAACCUGAAACCGUGUACGUACAAGCAGUGGGAGCACCUUCGGGUGUGACUGCGUACCUUUUGUAUAAUGGGUCAGCGACUUAUAUUCUGUAGCAAGGUUAACCGUAUAGGGGAGCCGCAGGGAAACCGAGUCUUAACUGGGCGUUAAGUUGCAGGGUAUAGACCCGAAACCCGGUGAUCUAGCCAUGGGCAGGUUGAAGGUUGGGUAACACUAACUGGAGGACCGAACCGACUAAUGUUGAAAAAUUAGCGGAUGACUUGUGGCUGGGGGUGAAAGGCCAAUCAAACCGGGAGAUAGCUGGUUCUCCCCGAAAGCUAUUUAGGUAGCGCCUCGUGAAUUCAUCUUCGGGGGUAGAGCACUGUUUCGGCUAGGGGGUCAUCCCGACUUACCAACCCGAUGCAAACUACGAAUACCGAAGAAUGUUAUCACGGGAGACACACGGCGGGUGCUAACGUCCGUCGUGAAGAGGGAAACAACCCAGACCGCCAGCUAAGGUCCCAAAGUCAUGGUUAAGUGGGAAACGAUGUGGGAAGGCACAGACAGCCAGGAUGUUGGCUUAGAAGCAGCCAUCAUUUAAAGAAAGCGUAAUAGCUCACUGGUCGAGUCGGCCUGCGCGGAAGAUGUAACGGGGCUAAACCAUGCACCGAAGCUGCGGCAGCGACACUAUGUGUUGUUGGGUAGGGGAGCGUUCUGUAAGCCUGCGAAGGUGACCUGUGAGGGUUGCUGGAGGUAUCAGAAGUGCGAAUGCUGACAUAAGUAACGAUAAAGCGGGUGAAAAGCCCGCUCGCCGGAAGACCAAGGGUUCCUGUCCAACGUUAAUCGGGGCAGGGUGAGUCGACCCCUAAGGCGAGGCCGAAAGGCGUAGUCGAUGGGAAACAGGUUAAUAUUCCUGUACUUGGUGUUACUGCGAAGGGGGGACGGAGAAGGCUAUGUUAGCCGGGCGACGGUUGUCCCGGUUUAAGCAUGUAGGCUGGUUGUCCAGGCAAAUCCGGAUAAUCAAGGCUGAGGUGUGAUGACGAGGCACUACGGUGCUGAAGUAACAAAUGCCCUGCUUCCAGGAAAAGCCUCUAAGCAUCAGGUAACAUUAAAUCGUACCCCAAACCGACACAGGUGGUCAGGUAGAGAAUACCAAGGCGCUUGAGAGAACUCGGGUGAAGGAACUAGGCAAAAUGGUGCCGUAACUUCGGGAGAAGGCACGCUGGUGUGUAGGUGAAGCCCCUGCGGGUGGAGCUGAGACCAGUCGAAGAUACCAGCUGGCUGCAACUGUUUAUUAAAAACACAGCACUGUGCAAACACGAAAGUGGACGUAUACGGUGUGACGCCUGCCCGGUGCCGGAAGGUUAAUUGAUGGGGUUAUCCGUAAGGAGAAGCUCUUGAUCGAAGCCCCGGUAAACGGCGGCCGUAACUAUAACGGUCCUAAGGUAGCGAAAUUCCUUGUCGGGUAAGUUCCGACCUGCACGAAUGGCGUAAUGAUGGCCAGGCUGUCUCCACCCGAGACUCAGUGAAAUUGAACUCGCUGUGAAGAUGCAGUGUACCCGCGGCAAGACGGAAAGACCCCGUGAACCUUUACUAUAGCUUGACACUGAACAUUGAGCCUUGAUGUGUAGGAUAGGUGGGAGGCUUUGAAGCGUGGACGCCAGUCUGCGUGGAGCCAACCUUGAAAUACCACCCUUUAAUGUUUGAUGUUCUAACGUUGGCCCCUUACCGGGGUUGCGGACAGUGUCUGGUGGGUAGUUUGACUGGGGCGGUCUCCUCCCAAAGCGUAACGGAGGAGCACGAAGGUUAGCUAAUCCUGGUCGGACAUCAGGAGGUUAGUGCAAUGGCAUAAGCUAGCUUGACUGCGAGCGUGACGGCGCGAGCAGGUGCGAAAGCAGGUCAUAGUGAUCCGGUGGUUCUGAAUGGAAGGGCCAUCGCUCAACGGAUAAAAGGUACUCCGGGGAUAACAGGCUGAUACCGCCCAAGAGUUCAUAUCGACGGCGGUGUUUGGCACCUCGAUGUCGGCUCAUCACAUCCUGGGGCUGAAGUAGGUCCCAAGGGUAUGGCUGUUCGCCAUUUAAAGUGGUACGCGAGCUGGGUUUAGAACGUCGUGAGACAGUUCGGUCCCUAUCUGCCGUGGGCGCUGGAGAAUUGAGGGGGGCUGCUCCUAGUACGAGAGGACCGGAGUGGACGCAUCACUGGUGUUCGGGUUGUCAUGCCAAUGGCACUGCCCGGUAGCUAAAUGCGGAAGAGAUAAGUGCUGAAAGCAUCUAAGCACGAAACUUGCCCCGAGAUGAGUUCUCCCUGAGACUUUAAGUCUCCUGAAGGAACGUUGAAGACGACGACGUUGAUAGGCCGGGUGUGUAAGCGCAGCGAUGCGUUGAGCUAACCGGUACUAAUGAACCGUGAGGCUUAACCUU